RNAcentral lists this ribosomal RNA (253 nucleotides) under uncultured bacterium. RNAcentral describes it as "partial 16S ribosomal RNA". It matches the Rfam family "Bacterial small subunit ribosomal RNA", at positions 524 to 776 of the family's 1533-position model. The record is from RNAcentral.
UACGGAGGGGGCUAGCGUUGUUCGGAAUUACUGGGCGUAAAGCGCACGUAGGCGGCUUUGUAAGUUAGAGGUGAAAGCCUGAUGCUCAACAUCGGAAUUGCCUUUAAGACUGCAUCGCUUGAACGUCGGAGAGGUGAGUGGAAUUCCGAGUGUAGAGGUGAAAUUCGUAGAUAUUCGGAAGAACACCAGUGGCGAAGGCGGCUCACUGGACGACUGUUGACGCUGAGGUGCGAAAGCGUGGGGAGCAAACAGG